CUAGCCACGGAAAUUGCUGUGUUGUAGAAGAGCUAUUAUGAGUUAUGUGUUGUUAGAAAAGGUUGUACCCAAUCUAGAAAUUAUUAUAGUUUCUAUAAAUAUUAAUUGUAGUGACAUCUAAGUAUUUUGCUGAUGUGAGUGAAACUCCAAUAAUUUUGUAUUUUUUGUUUGGCAAAACAUGGAGUUUGUCAAUUCACAAAAUAAAAAUGGUAAAGUAAAAAAGAGUUCAUCUCCACCGUUUCUCAUAUUUUUUGUAAAAAAUAGAAUUAUGGACCCACUCGUUGCCCGUGCUUUUUUUCCUCGCACGCCGCUGCCAGUUCACGCGGUUUUUGUUUUCCUUCACUAGUUCGCCUAGUCACCGGCGAUUGCAUCCAGCCGACCAGCAAAUUCCUCCCAGGAAGGCACGUCUAGGCUAGCUAGUAGUCAUGACACCGAUAGAUUCCAAGUCGCUGAAGACUCCACCAAGUCGGCAACUGAAACUCCGAUGAAAGAUGGCGACAUCACGGAGCAAUCGCGCGGGGACUCCGACAGCGAUGCGCGUGAGAAGGAGUAGGCAUGUGGGAUAAUGAUACGCGCGUGGGAGGAGUCUCCCUGUCAUGCAAAAACACUAAUGCCAAGCCUCGCGGACUUUUGCAUAUAUGCACAGUUUGACCAUCCAUUUGUCAAGUUGCCAAAUUUGCCAAAGCCAAUUGUCAAACCGUUGGAGAGUGACUUUUGGCUUUUCUCAAAAAAAAAAAAAAAGAAUGCCUAACUCGAUUGCAAACCCGUUAGAGUUGCUCUGACAAGGUAAUUAUUGAAGAGAGAAACCCGGUCUAAGUUAGAAACCACGAGAUUCAAUAUAUGAAGUGAUGUGGUUGGUUGAGAAUAAAGAGAAUGAAUGUGAUUGGAUAAUGUAUAAACUAUUCAUUGAAAUCAUAGUUUCUAUAUAUAAUAUCUAUUAUAUAAACUAUAUUGAGACUGCCCUUAGCUAAUUGCUUCAAACAACUAUAAAAGCUAUCUCCUUCCCCUAUAGUGCUAUUUCUCAUGCAACAAUUGCGACCGCGACACAUGUCUCUAUUUCCGUCCAUUUAGAGAAAAUACAAAU
This 1084-nucleotide long non-coding RNA is filed under the name Sorghum bicolor (sorghum). RNAcentral describes it as "long non-coding RNA (SBIC_LNC005624)". The record is from RNAcentral. Lineage: Eukaryota; Viridiplantae; Streptophyta; Magnoliopsida; Poales; Poaceae.